UUGUGACUAGCAUAAGAACCCAAAUAUCUGCCGUGUCCAUGCUUUCAUCCUUUCUCAUAAUAAAUCAUGAAUGAAUGCUUAAUGGUUGUUUUGAGGUUGAACAAAACUAUUUUGAAAGUCUCUUCAUUCCAUGAGUUUUAUAAUUAGAGUGGAAAAGGGUGUGUGUAUGUGUUUCUAUGGGGAGCAGAGACUGAUGUUGAAUAUCUCUGGCAACUUUUCUCAAUCUUAUUUCCUUUCUUCUCAUAUGUGUAUGAGUACACAUGUGGGUAUAAUGUGUAUGUGAAUGUUCACUAUGUGUAUGUUCACGCUCACAUUUGUGUUUGUAUAUGUGUGUGAGUACAAGCACAAGUGUCUGUGGAGACCACAGGGCAACUUCACUUGAGGCAGAGUUUCUUGCUUCUUCCUGCCGCACCUGCCAGGCUAGCCUGUGAACUUCCUGGGUUUCUCUUGUCUCCUCCCCUCAUCUUCCCAUGCUAGGAUUACACGGUCUAUUUUGCGAAUCCUAGGGACCAGAACUCUGGUCCUUAUGCUUGCAUUAUAAGUACUUUAUCCACUGAUCUGUUUCUCCAGCUCUCAGACCUUAACAUUUUUUAUUUUGAUUAUGAUCUAUAAGAAGGUUAUCAAUUUAGCUAUAAGCCCCAGUGGUCUUCCUGUUUUUUCGUUUCCUGCAGUAGGAUUAUAGACACAUGAGUGUUGUGCCUGGCUUCUGACAUGAAGACUUCAUGUUUCUGGAGCAAGUUCUUAAACAAAUCAGCCAUCUCCCUAACCCCAGUAAGAAAUAUCUGGAGGUAAAACUGAAACAUCACACUUUUUUUAAAGCUCAAUUCAAUUCACAAGGCAGCAAAUUGUGAAUUCUGAAGAAGCCAGAGUCAGCAAGGACCAAGAUUUGUCUACCUCUUUUGAGUUCUUGCUUGUGUUCCCUCCUACUUCAUGUCCAUUUCCCUCUUCCCAAAUGCCUUCCCUGUGUGUUCCAGUCUCCAGCAUAAGACAGGAAGAAGCAGCCAUGUAGAAAGUGCUUCAGCAGCACAUGGUUGUAUCAGGCUAGAUUCCUGUGACAAAUUGUCAGCUGCUAGUGCAUACAUUUAAUCAUUUAAUCAAUUCACUCAUUAGGGUGUGGGGGUUUACAUGCCAUGGUACACAUGUGCAAGUCAUACAACAUAUAGGAGUCAAUUUUCUUCUUCUACCAUGUAAGUUCCAACUCAAGUAAUCCAGCUUGUUGGCAAUCAGCUUCACCAACUGAACCAUUCUAUCACCAGCCUCUUUCUAUUUUGAAAUAGCCUUUGGCAUAGAACUUUUUCUGUUAUCUUAAAAGGUUAUUAUUAUUUGCUCUAAUUACAAAGUAGUAUUUGAAAACUAUUCAACUACCUUUCCCCCAAUUCUAAUAUCUUCCUGAAUCUUGCCCCCCACUUAAAGGAAACCUAAGGGUCUGAUGUACACACUGUGUAUGAUCUAAUAUAAAGUAGCCUUUCUGCAUCUUGACCCACUGUAUAAAACUGAAAUGCUCAAAUAAUGGAAUCCUAGCACAGAGUGAAAUGAUCAAACAAAGCCUGUGACCAAUGACCACAAGCAGCAGGACUUCACAAGAAGGAGAUGGUUAGUUGUAUAUCUGUAAAGACCUUAAAGAAGCCUGCAUAACAACCAUUGAGCAGAUCAGGCUGUUAGAAAGCACACUAGUGACCAUGCCCCCAUGGAACCACUGGGUAUCUUGUUAGGAACUGAGGAAAAGCCAUCUUGUUGGACUUGAAUAGCAGCUAGACUUUGGUGUACAGUUUGCACAACUCUAUCUUUCAAGACAAAGCCACCUUUAUCCUAGAUCAUUUCCUCUCUGUUCCUUCCACUUUCUUGGCAAUUUUAAGUGGCCCUUGGCCUAUUUUGGGUGUCCAUGAACUUACUUAUCAGUGUUUAGGAACUAGUUCCAGCUGGCUCCUUCUGUUUACUCUGACUUCUAGCUCUCUGGUAACUAGGUUCAGGGAUUUCCAUUCUUUUGUUUGACCCUUUGAAACACUGGUUCUUUAGAUGAUCCAAGACAAUAUAUAUCUGCAUGGUGUAGGAGGUCGUUCUAUGUGUUGCUUUCAUUGGUUGAAUAAAGAAACUGCCUUGGCCUUUUGAUAGGGCAGAAACUUAGGUAGGCAGGAAAGACAGAACAGAAUUCUGGGAGGAAGAAAGCAGGGUCAGAGAGAGCUGCCAUGGAGCCAGCAACCAGGUCAGAUGUGCUAAAUCUUUCCCGUUUCUAGGUCAGGUGGCUCUAUAUAAGCAGGAAAAUGAUAGAAUAAGAAGACAAAUUACUCAAGAAAAGAAGAGCUUUGGAAAUUCACAGUCAGAGAUGAAGAUGGAUGACCACUGAUUAGAUGCAAGCAGAACACCGCUACAGAAGCACAGAUCCCUGAUAGGGGAAAGAAACAGAAGGCACGUCCUAAAGGUGAGACUUUGGAACUAGGCCUCAAGGACACACAACAAGAACACCAUGUCUGAAUUGGAAAACAGGUUGCCUCCUGGCAUCACUGCAGCUUUUUUGGACUUGGACCUCCCAGCAUCCAGAACCGUCAAAAGCGAAGCUGCUGCUGUCUAUGAGCUUGCUCUCUUAUGAAAUUUGGUUUGAGCAGCCCCAAGAGUCUGAGACAAAGUAGCUACUGAAAGCCAGCUACUGAAAAGAAUGGGGAUUUUUAGCAGAUAGCAUCUUUUCCAAGUCCCAGAAAGACACAAGAUAGUAGAAGAGAGGCAUUCCCAGAGGCCAAUCUGGCAUUCAAGUAGAAGCACCUCAGAAAUUUCAUGCAAAUAAGAAGCAAAUUGGAGUCUGAUGCCAGAGCACGGCAGGAAUAAUAGUGAGCAUUGCUGGGCACAUUUGGAACCAGCUUCUGCACAUGUGCAUCCGCACCCUGCAACCGAAACAUGUUAUUCGGCUAGUACAGGGAGAGAGGGAACAGGCACUCAUUUGGUGAGCUGCCAGUGCUGGCCAUGGGCAAAGUCCUCUUGGAAAUGGUAUUUGGAAACUCCUUACGAAACCAUUUCAAUAUUUGGAAUUUGUCCCCCCAAAAAAUCCAUGAAGAAAAUUAUUUAUGAAAAACUAUACAAAUACAGACACAUCACCCUUUAUGUACAUUCAUAUAUAUGACAUGCAAAUAUUUUUAAAUGAAAAGUCCUUAAUAAUAUAGUUAGUUGCAUUAUAAUAAGGAUUUUAAAAUACAUAUGUUUUUAUG
Alexandromys fortis (reed vole) is the source of this 3197-nucleotide long non-coding RNA. RefSeq lists it as uncharacterized. The transcript has 3 exons. The record is from RefSeq and is a predicted model, not a curated record. Lineage: Eukaryota; Metazoa; Chordata; Mammalia; Rodentia; Cricetidae.